Molecule: transfer RNA, 71 nt
Filed under: Bacteroidota bacterium
Lineage: Bacteria; Pseudomonadati; Bacteroidota
Description: Bacteroidetes bacterium tRNA-Cys
Rfam family: tRNA
About the family: Transfer RNA (tRNA) molecules are approximately 80 nucleotides in length.
Source: RNAcentral
GGUUCGGUGGCCGAGGGGCUAGGCAGAGCUCUGCAAAAGCUUCUACAGCAGUUCGAAUCUGCUCCGAACCU